GAUGAACGCUGGCUACAGGCUUAACACAUGCAAGUCGAGGGGAAACGACGGGGAAGCUUGCUUCCCCGGGCGUCGACCGGCGCACGGGUGAGUAACGCGUAUCCAACUUGCCUCUGACUGAGGGAUAACCCGUCGAAAGUCGGCCUAAUACCUCAUGGCAUCGUCUGCGGGCAUCCAACGACGAUUAAAGAUUUCAUCGGUCAGAGAUGGGGAUGCGUCUGAUUAGCUUGUUGGCGGGGUAACGGCCCACCAAGGCGACGAUCAGUAGGGGUUCUGAGAGGAAGGUCCCCCACAUUGGAACUGAGACACGGUCCAAACUCCUACGGGAGGCAGCAGUGAGGAAUAUUGGUCAAUGGGCGAGAGCCUGAACCAGCCAAGUAGCGUGCAGGAUGACGGCCCUAUGGGUUGUAAACUGCUUUUAUGCGGGGAUAAAGUGAGGGACGUGUCCUUCAUUGCAGGUACCGCAUGAAUAAGGACCGGCUAAUUCCGUG
RNAcentral lists this ribosomal RNA (491 nucleotides) under uncultured bacterium. RNAcentral's name for it is "partial 16S ribosomal RNA". It matches the Rfam family "Bacterial small subunit ribosomal RNA", at positions 28 to 507 of the family's 1533-position model. The record is from RNAcentral.